GACGAACGCUGGCGGCGUGCCUAAUACAUGCAAGUAGGACGCAGUUGCGAACGGGUGAGUAACGCGUAGGUAACUACCUAUUAGAGGGGGAUAACUAUUGGACACGAUAGCUAAUACCGCAUACUAGUAGAUGGACCUGCGUUGUAUUCGCUAGUAGGUAGGGUAAUGGCCUCCCUAGGCAAGGAUACAUAGCCGACCGGAGAGGGGGAUAGGCCAAACUGGGACUGGGACACGGGCCAGACUCCUACGGGAGGCAGCAGUAGGGAAUCUUCGGCAAUGGGGGGAACCCUGACCGAGCAACGCCGCGGGAGGGAAGAAGGUUUUCGGAGCGUAAAGCUCUGUUGGUAAGGAAGCGGUACUUAACCAGAAAGGGACGGCUAACUACGUGCCAGCGGCCGCGGUAAUUC
Molecule: ribosomal RNA, 407 nt
Filed under: uncultured bacterium
Lineage: Bacteria
Description: partial 16S ribosomal RNA
Rfam family: Bacterial small subunit ribosomal RNA
Source: RNAcentral